This 479-nucleotide ribosomal RNA is filed under the name uncultured bacterium. Its description in RNAcentral is "bacterial SSU rRNA". It matches the Rfam family "Bacterial small subunit ribosomal RNA", at positions 28 to 526 of the family's 1533-position model. The record is from RNAcentral.
GACGAACGCUGGCGGCGUGCUUAACACAUGCAAGUUGUACGACGGUCUUAUGAAGUGUUUACAUGGAUUAGGAUACGGAGUAGCGGACGGGUGAGUACAACAUGAGAACCUAUCCCAUAACGGGGGACAACGUUUGGAAACGGACGCUAAUACCCCAUAGGCCGAGAGGUUAAAGCGGAGACGCGAUAUGGGAGGGGCUCGUGACCUAUCAGCUAGUUGGUGGGGUAAAGGCCUACCAAGGCGACGACGGGUAGCCGGCCUGAGAGGGUGAACGGCCACACUGGAACUGAGAUACGGUCCAGACUCCUACGGGAGGCAGCAGUGGGGAAUAUUGGGCAAUGGGAGCAAUCCUGACCCAGCGACGCCGCGUGAACGAAGAAGGCCCUUGGGUCGUAAAGUUCUUUUGUACGGGAAGAAGACAGUGACGGUACCGUACGAAUAAGCCCCGGCUAACUACGUGCCAGCCGCCGCCGUAACAC